RNAcentral lists this ribosomal RNA (495 nucleotides) under uncultured bacterium. RNAcentral's name for it is "bacterial SSU rRNA". It matches the Rfam family "Bacterial small subunit ribosomal RNA", at positions 24 to 518 of the family's 1533-position model. The record is from RNAcentral.
UCAGGAUGAACGCUGGCGGCGUGCCUAAUACAUGCAAGUCGAGCGAGAAUCAGUGAUGCAGAGAUCGUCAAAGCGGAUCUGAGGAAAGCGGCGGACGGGUGAGUAACGCGUAGGCAACCUGCCCUUAGCAGAGGGAUAGCCAUUGGAAACGAUGAUUAAAACCUCAUAAUGCUGUUUUUACACAUGUAGAGACAGCCAAAGAUUUAUCGGCUAAGGAUGGGCCUGCGUCUGAUUAACUAGUUGGUGGGGUAACGGCUCACCAAGGUGACGAUCAGUAGCCGACCUGAGAGGGUGAUCGGCCACAUUGGAACUGAGACACGGUCCAAACUUCUACGGAAGGCAGCAGUAAGGAAUCUUGCACAAUGGGGGAAACCCUGAAUGCAGCAACGCCGCGUGAACGAUGAAGGCCUUAGGGUUGUAAAGUUCUGAUCUGUGGGAAGAAGAAGUGACGGUACCACAGGAGAAAGCCCCGGCUAAAUACGUGCCAGCCGCAGC